CAGUCGCCGCGGGAAAACGAAGGGUGCAAGCGUUAAUCGGAAUUACUGGGCGUAAGGGGUGCGUAGGCGGUUGUUUAAGUCUGUUGUGAAAUCCCCGGGCUCAACCUGGGAAUGGCAAUGGAAACUGGACGGCUAGAGUGUGUCAGAGGAUGGUGGAAUUCCCGGUGUAGCGGUGAAAUGCGUAGAGAUCGGAAGGAACAUCUGUGGCGAAGGCGACUAUCUGGGCCAACACUGACACUGAGGCACGAAAGCGUGGGGAGCAAACAGGAUUAGAUACCCCCGUAGUCCCUGUCUCUUAUAC
This 301-nucleotide ribosomal RNA is filed under the name uncultured bacterium. RNAcentral describes it as "partial 16S ribosomal RNA". It matches the Rfam family "Bacterial small subunit ribosomal RNA", at positions 509 to 807 of the family's 1533-position model. The record is from RNAcentral.